UACGGGGGGAGCAAGCGUUGUUCGGAUUUACUGGGCGUAAAGGGCGCGUAGGCGGUCAGCACAAGUCAGUUGUGAAAUCUCCGGGCUUAACUCGGAAAGGUCAACUGAUACUGUGCGACUAGAGUGCGGAAGGGGCAACUGGAAUUCUCGGUGUAGCGGUGAAAUGCGUAGAUAUCGAGAGGAACACCUGCGGCGAAGGCGGUUCUCUGGGCAUGUCCUGACGCUGAGGAGCGAAAGUGUGGGGAGCGAACAGG
RNAcentral lists this ribosomal RNA (254 nucleotides) under uncultured bacterium. RNAcentral's name for it is "partial 16S ribosomal RNA". It matches the Rfam family "Bacterial small subunit ribosomal RNA", at positions 524 to 776 of the family's 1533-position model. The record is from RNAcentral.